AGACGGGACGAUGCAUUUACCUAUCCCUUUCGACAACUAUCCUUUGCUCCACACCUGCUAUACUGGUCAGCGACAGAGACUGGAGGAUUUGUCAAGAGGAAAAUGCGAUUCCAACUGCCUAAUGAUCAAUGGCAUAGUUUCCCACAUAGGAGACCAACUUGCGAAGCUGUGGCAGAAAGAGAAAGGAGGGACUGGGAAAUAUCCCCCUCCCAGUUUACAUGCACUGCUGGAUCUCUAUUGGAAAGCAUAGAAAAACCCUACAAACAUGUGAUUGUAUCCUUUCUGGUUAUUUUAAAUGCACCUCAGGAUAUGUACAAAAAUGUUCUUAAAUGUUUGUCUCCUACGUGCUUAAGAAGGGAUUUUAAUUUACUCCUCAAACACAAAGCUAGUGAAAACAUUUGGUUUAGAAUUAAGUCAUAGACAGAAGCAUUGUUAUACUUUUUAGUCCUGUGGAGUUUUUAUGAUUUUUUUUUUCAGUGUUUUGUUGCCACGUCUUUUCUCCUAUGAGAGAAUGGGUUUACUAAGAAAUGUUAAAGGCAAAAAGCCCCAUUAGUUUUUCUUCUGGAAAUUUACACACAGUUUUUAAUUUUUAGAUCACUGAUACAUGUAGCAAAUGGCUUCUUGCUAGAAUGACGCACUGAAACCUGCUGCUGCAGAACAAAGGGAUUUCUAACAGUGGCUUAGAGUCCAGCAGGUAGCUCCACUGACUGUAGAGGGAGCCUGAGUUUAUAACAGAAGUAUUUAAAUAUCUAAAGCUAAAAUUUAUGGAUGCUUUACAAAAAUCAAAGUGUACUUCCUCCAGGUUACUUCUUCAGAAUACAAUUUUGUGGUUAGAAGCUGGCUGUCUCCUGGUUAAGAGUUUAAAACUGCAAGACUAAAACAUUAGUAUUUCCUGCUUCCUGCCACUUUUAUAUUCUUAUUUCACUGAGUUUUUAUAAAGGUAGUGGGAUAAACUUGUUGGUCUUCCAGAUUUGUUAGCCUUAAUUAUAUAUCAGACUUGCGGCAAGGUAUCUUGAAGUGCUGGCUAAAUAAAACCAAAAUGAUAGUCAAUUCUUUUGCGACUGUCUUUGCUCUCCUUCAGGGCCUUGUUAAACUGAUUGAAGGGUUUUGGCUGCUUGACCGCAAGCAUUAUAAAGUAAGUAUGUUACCGUUUAGUUGCACAUACACUACCAUACAAAGCUCUCCUCUAUAAAAUUAUUUUCAGAAAUUGCUGCUUAGCUAGUAACAGGUACUAAAACACAAUAGGCUUUUUUCAUAGUCCUGCUAUGACAUCUUCAGCAAUUAGUUACGAUUUGAGAUUCUGUUUCAAUACCUUGGACAGGAAAUUGAUAAAAACAAAUAAGAAAUCAACUUGAACAAUGCCUGCCAGUUGAAUUUUCAAAGCCAUCCAAUUAAGGUGUUUUCAGUAAACCAGUUGAGCACUUUCUCAAAAACAGUGGUUUAGGUACUUUCAAUAUUAAAACGAGGAUCCUAGCUGCAAGAUUUGAGCUGGAAGACUCCAAAAGCGACUUUUCAACCUAAUUCAUGUUCUUUCUGAUGCUGAAGGUCAUAUUUUGCCUAUCAUGAUGUUAAUAGAAUCUGCUUGUCUGGGAGAACAAUUUAUUAU
Cuculus canorus (common cuckoo) is the source of this 1606-nucleotide long non-coding RNA. RefSeq lists it as uncharacterized. The transcript has 3 exons. The record is from RefSeq and is a predicted model, not a curated record. NCBI's taxonomy places the organism in Eukaryota, Metazoa, Chordata, Aves, Cuculiformes, Cuculidae.